Molecule: ribosomal RNA, 253 nt
Filed under: uncultured bacterium
Lineage: Bacteria
Description: partial 16S ribosomal RNA
Rfam family: Bacterial small subunit ribosomal RNA
Source: RNAcentral
UACGGAGGGAGCUAGCGUUGUUCGGAAUUACUGGGCGUAAAGCGCACGUAGGCGGCUUUGUAAGUUAGAGGUGAAAGCCCGGGGCUCAACCCCGGAAUUGCCUUUAAGACUGCAUCGCUUGAAUCCGGGAGAGGUGAGUGGAAUUCCGAGUGUAGAGGUGAAAUUCGUAGAUAUUCGGAAGAACACCAGUGGCGAAGGCGGCUCUCUGGGACGGUACUGACGCUGAGACGCGAAAGCGUGGGGAGCGAACAGG